RNAcentral lists this ribosomal RNA (2032 nucleotides) under Clostridioides difficile. RNAcentral's name for it is "bacterial LSU rRNA". It matches the Rfam family "Bacterial large subunit ribosomal RNA", at positions 492 to 2543 of the family's 2925-position model. Lineage: Bacteria; Bacillati; Bacillota; Clostridia; Peptostreptococcales; Peptostreptococcaceae. The record is from RNAcentral.
GUAUAGUACCGUGAGGGAAAGGUGAAAAGAACCCCGGGAGGGGAGUGAAAUAGAACCUGAAACCCUGCACUUACAAGCUGUGGAAGCACAUUUCUUGUGUGACCGCGUACUUUUUGUAGAACGGGCCAACGAGUUACGUUAAGUAGCAAGGUUAAGCACUUAAGGUGCGGAGCCGUAGCGAAAGCGAGUUUUAACUGAGCGUUCAGUUACUUGACGUAGACCCGAAACCGGGCGACCUACCCAUGAGCAGGAUGAAGCGAAAGUAAAAUUUCGUGGAGGUCCGAACCCACGAGCGUUGAAAAGCUCGGGGAUGACUUGUGGGUAGCGGUGAAAUUCCAAUCGAGCCCGGAGAUAGCUGGUUCUCCCCGAAAUAGCUUUAGGGCUAGCCUCAAGGUGAGAGAUACGGAGGUAGAGCACUGAAUGUCCUAGGGGGUAUUGCACCUACCGAAGACUAUCAAACUCCGAAUGCCGUCAUCUUAUACUUGGGAGUCAGACUGUGGGUGAUAAGAUUCAUAGUCGAAAGGGCAACAGCCCAGAUCGUCAGCUAAGGUCCCUAAAUGUAAGUUAAGUGGUAAAGGAUGUGGGAUUGCACAGACAACCAGGAUGUUGGCUUAGAAGCAGCCACUCAUUCAAAGAGUGCGUAAUAGCUCACUGGUCGAGUGAUCCUGCGCCGAAGAUUUCCGGGGCUAAAACUUACUACCGAAGCUACGGCAUCAGUAAUGAUGGGUAGGGGAGCUUCCCAUACGGGUUGAAGCAUGACCGUAAGGACAUGUGGACAGUAUGGGAGUGAGAAUGUUGGCAUGAGUAGCGAGAUGUGGGUGAGAAUCCCACAGGCCGUAAACCCAAGGUUUCCAGGGGAAGGUUCGUCCGCCCUGGGUUAGUCGGGACCUAAGCUGAGGCCGAAAGGCGUAGGUGAUGGACAACAGGUUGAUAUUCCUGUACUACCGAUAACCGUUUGAGAGAUGGGAUGACACAGUAGGAUAAGCUAAGCACACUGUUGGUUAUGUGUGCCCAAGCAUUGAGGCAGUCAAAGUAGGCAAAUCCGCUUUGAUAAUGCUGGGAUGUGAUGGGGAGCGAAAUUUAGUAGCGAAGUAGCUGAUUUCACACUGUCAAGAAAAGUCUCUAUCGAGGUUAAAGGUACCCGUACCGCAAACCGACACAGGUGGGUGAGGAGAGUAUCCUAAGGCCAGCGAGAGAACUGUUGUUAAGGAACUCGGCAAAAUGACCCCGUAACUUAGGGAUAAGGGGUGCCACCAUCAGGUGGCCGCAGAGAAUAGGCCCAAGCGACUGUUUACCAAAAACAUAGGUUUCUGCUAAGUCGCAAGACGAUGUAUAGGAGCUGACGCCUGCCCGGUGCUGGAAGGUUAAGGGGAUCUGUUAGAGCAAUCGAAGCAGUGAACUUAAGCCCCAGUAAACGGCGGCCGUAACUAUAACGGUCCUAAGGUAGCGAAAUUCCUUGUCGGGUAAGUUCCGACCCGCACGAAAGGCGUAACGAUUUGGGCACUGUCUCAACAACAGACUCGGUGAAAUUGUAAUUCCGGUGAAGAUGCCGGAUACCUGCGACAGGACGGAAAGACCCCAUGGAGCUUUACUGUAGCUUGACAUUGGGUCUUGGUACUACAUGUACAGGAUAGGUGGGAGGCUUUGAAACCAGGACGCCAGUUUUGGCGGAGCCAUCCUUGGGAUACCACCCUUGUAGUACUGGGACUCUAACCAUAGGCCAUGAAUCUGGUCUUGGGACACUGUCAGGUGGGCAGUUUGACUGGGGCGGUCGCCUCCCAAAAGGUAACGGAGGCGCUCAAAGGUUCUCUCAGUACGGUCGGAAAUCGUACGUAGAGUGUAAAGGCAAAAGAGAGCUUGAUUGCAAGACAUACAGGUCGAGCAAGGAUGAAAAUCGGACUUAGUGAUCCGGUGGUUCUGCGUGGAAGGGCCAUCGCUCAACGGAUAAAAGCUACCCUGGGGAUAACAGGCUUAUCUCCCCCAAGAGUCCACAUCGACGGGGAGGUUUGGCACCUCGAUGUCGGCUCAUCAC